GAUGAACGCUGGCGGCGUGCCUAAUACAUGCAAGUCGAGCGAACGGACGAGAAGCUUGCUUCUCUGAUGUUAGCGGCGGACGGGUGAGUAACACGUGGAUAACCUACCUAUAAGACUGGGAUAACUUCGGGAAACCGGAGCUAAUACCGGAUAAUAUUUUGAACCGCAUGGUUCAAAAGUGAAAGACGGUCUUGCUGUCACUUAUAGAUGGAUCCGCGCUGCAUUAGCUAGUUGGUAAGGUAACGGCUUACCAAGGCAACGAUGCAUAGCCGACCUGAGAGGGGGAUCGGCCACACGGGAACUGAGACACGGUCCAGACUCCUACGGGAGGCAGCAGUAGGGAAUCGUCCGCAAUGGGCGAAAGCCUGACGGAGCAACGCCGCGUGAGUGAUGAAGGUCUUCGGAUCGUAAAACUCUGUUAUUAGGGAAGAACAGAUGUGUAAGUAACUGUGCACAUCUUGACGGUACCUAAUCAGAAAGCCACGGCUAACUACGUG
Molecule: ribosomal RNA, 497 nt
Filed under: uncultured bacterium
Lineage: Bacteria
Description: partial 16S ribosomal RNA
Rfam family: Bacterial small subunit ribosomal RNA
Source: RNAcentral